Molecule: small nuclear RNA, 107 nt
Organism: Myotis lucifugus (little brown bat)
Lineage: Eukaryota; Metazoa; Chordata; Mammalia; Chiroptera; Vespertilionidae
Source: Ensembl
GUGCUCGCUUCAGCAGCAUAUAUACUAAAAUUGGAAUGGUACAAAGAAGAUUAGCAUGGCCCAUGGGCAAGGAUGACACGCAAAUUUAUGAAGCGUUCCAUAUUAAA